RNAcentral lists this ribosomal RNA (484 nucleotides) under uncultured bacterium. RNAcentral's name for it is "partial 16S ribosomal RNA". It matches the Rfam family "Bacterial small subunit ribosomal RNA", at positions 30 to 507 of the family's 1533-position model. The record is from RNAcentral.
AUUGAACGCUGGCGGCAGGCCUAACACAUGCAAGUCGAGCGGAUGAAGGGAGCUUGCUCCUGGAUUCAGCGGCGGACGGGUGAGUAAUGCCUAGGAAUCUGCCUGGUAGUGGGGGAUAACGUCCGGAAACGGGCGCUAAUACCGCAUACGUCCUGAGGGAGAAAGUGGGGGACCUUCGGACCUAAGGCUAUCAGAGGAGCCUAGGUCGGAUUAGCUAGUUGGUGGGGUAAAGGCCUCCCAAGGCGACGAUCCGUAACUGGUCUGAGAGGAUGAUCAGUCACACUGGAACUGAGACACGGUCCAGACUCCUACGGGAGGCAGCAGUGGGGAAUAUUGGACAAUGGGCGAAAGCCUGAUCCAGCCAUGCCGCGUGUGUGAAGAAGGUCUUCGGAUUGUAAAGCACUUUAAGUUGGGAGGAAGGGCAGUAAGUUAAUACCUUGCUGUUUUGACGUUACCAACAGAAUAAGCACCGGCUAACUUCGUG